Molecule: long non-coding RNA, 562 nt
Filed under: Vigna radiata
Lineage: Eukaryota; Viridiplantae; Streptophyta; Magnoliopsida; Fabales; Fabaceae
Description: long non-coding RNA (VRAD_LNC001888)
Source: RNAcentral
CAGGCAAUGUUUGAAACUAAAAUGAGUGCAAAUGAUAGUUUAAACAUUCACAAGCACAAAUAGCAUCACCAGGAAAUCAGUAAGCACAUUCAAGCAAUCAAUAUCUCACUGAAUUCANCAAACAAUUUAUGAACUAAAUUGAUUUCAAAAGCUUCUUAAGCAGUCACAAUUGUUCCAAUCAAAGCAACUCUGCUCAGACAAUUAUUCCAGAUUCAACAGAGUAUAUAUUGCAAACAACUACAAACCAUACAAGAGCAGUUCAAUCACAGUAAAAGUAUUUGAAGGUAGAAGAAACUCCCUUCAAUUUAGAUGACUGCUUUUGGCGUGCUCCAACUAAUCAAUUAUGCACACUNUUGCAACUACUGAUAAUUCAACUUCUGGACAGCAUUUAUACCUGUAGAGAUCAACCAAAAAGAAGACUGCACAACUCUAAAUAGUUAGAACAGUUCAAUUUAACACUUAUUUCAGGUCUUAAACAAGAACACACUCUCAACAAGAAAUUUGGCUCUUAGAUACAGCCAUACAAAGCUCACAACAACAAGUUCAACUCUGGAAGCUCAAA